Molecule: transfer RNA, 22 nt
Filed under: Hypophthalmichthys nobilis (bighead carp)
Lineage: Eukaryota; Metazoa; Chordata; Actinopteri; Cypriniformes; Xenocyprididae
Description: partial tRNA-Glu
Source: RNAcentral
GUUCUUGUAGUUGAACUACAAC